RNAcentral lists this ribosomal RNA (128 nucleotides) under uncultured eukaryote. RNAcentral describes it as "partial small subunit ribosomal RNA". It matches the Rfam family "Eukaryotic small subunit ribosomal RNA", at positions 1651 to 1783 of the family's 1831-position model. The record is from RNAcentral.
CCCUGCCUUUUGUACACACCGCCCGUCGCUCCUACCGAUUGAGUGUGUUGGUGAGGAGCUCGGAUUGGUGAAGGGUUUCCGCUAUCUGUUGCUGAGAAGUCCUCCGAACCGCCCCACUUAGAGGAAGG